GUAGGUGGCAAGCGUUGUCCGGAAUUAUUGGGCGUAAAGCGCGCGCAGGUGGUUCUUUAAGUCUGAUGUGAAAGCCUCCGGCUCAACCGGGGAGGGUCAUUGGAAACUGGGGAACUUGAGUGCAGGAGAGGAAAGUGGAAUUCCACGUGUAGCGGUGAAAUGCGUAGAUAUGUGGAGGAACACCAGUGGCGAAGGCGACUUUCUGGCCUGUAACUGACACUGAGGCGCGAAAGCGUGGGGAGCAAACAGGGAUUAGAUACCCUGGUAGUCCACGCCGUAAACGAUGAGUGCUAAGUGUUGGGGGGGUUUCCCGCCCCUCAGUGCUGCAGCUAACGCAUUAAGCACUCCGCCUGGGGAUACGGUCGCAAGACUG
This 373-nucleotide ribosomal RNA is filed under the name uncultured organism. RNAcentral's name for it is "partial 16S ribosomal RNA". It matches the Rfam family "Bacterial small subunit ribosomal RNA", at positions 527 to 896 of the family's 1533-position model. The record is from RNAcentral.